Long non-coding RNA from Cygnus olor (mute swan), 148 nucleotides. RefSeq lists it as uncharacterized. The record is from RefSeq and is a predicted model, not a curated record. NCBI's taxonomy places the organism in Eukaryota, Metazoa, Chordata, Aves, Anseriformes, Anatidae. The transcript has 3 exons.
UAUUUUGCAUUCAAAUGGGAAGACCCAGAUACACAUAGAAAACAACAAUUAAGGUGGACAGUUUUGCCUCAGGGUUUUACGGAAUCUCCAAACCUGUUUGGGCAGGCCCUGGAGCAAAUUUUACAAGACUAGGAUAGAAUGCCAAGGA